Molecule: long non-coding RNA, 6776 nt
Organism: Oncorhynchus tshawytscha (Chinook salmon)
Lineage: Eukaryota; Metazoa; Chordata; Actinopteri; Salmoniformes; Salmonidae
Source: Ensembl
CUGCAAUAACAUCACACUCAUGUAGGAGGGUGGACUUUUUUAUAAAACACAAAGGGCCGGUGGUGUAGGGAAGGCUAUACACGGGUAUAAACUGUAUAUACACUUUUUUUCAGUGGGCAUUGCGUAUACUGACUUCUUAAUCCCUACUGAUGCGUAUCCUAGCAGUGUAGUGGAGGUAUACGUCUUAUCAAUUACAUAGUACAAUAGAGAAAUCAUGCACAAAGUAGCCCACACAAUCGCAAAGUACAUGAAAUAUAUUCACAUGCGCACAGCACACACAGCCUAGUUUUAGCGGAAUAUUAUCUGCUGGCAGCAAAAGUGUGCAGCUCUCAAGGUGUUUUGGCAUGGAGCAGCUCACAGAACAAUGCCAUCGGUAGCCGGUAGGGUAGGUAAGACGUUUCAACUUUCUACUAGUAAAUGAUAACUAAGGCAACAAUGGGUAUGCAAACCAGGUAUUGAAAAAAGUUUAAUCCACAGUGUUGGUUAGUAGGCUAGACAUGGAUGAGCCUGGGUGGACUAAGGCCCACCCAAUGGGGAGCCAGGCCCUGACAGGCCCACCCAAUCAGAUUGAUGUGGUUGAAGCAUUGUUGUGGACUUAGAACAUCACAUUUUAGUAUAUUUUCAUUUUUUUUUAAAUAGGUGUGAUUUUGAGAGUGAAAAUCUGCUAAAUCUAUGGGAAACUCAUUUAACGUGGGAAACAGGGUUUUUCACACAGGUGCCUUUCCUUCGCUAGGCGUGCCGUUUGGGAACUUUUUUAGCUAAAUGUGAGUAUUCCCACUUCUCCAGGCACCACCACACCACUGCAUAGGGCUGAUGGAAGGACAGCAGUCACACACAGCAUGACGUUAAAGUAUAAGUAGUCAAUAAACUCGGACAUAAUAAAACAUUAGUUCCCCAUCAUAAGAAUACAAAAACACAACCAUUAAGCAUUUCCCAAUCAAAAUUGACAACUAUUACCUCCCAUUGCCAAAAACAUUUCACGUUUAGCACCGUUGACCUAAAGUGUAAAGUGGAACUGGCAGCGUUUUAACUACUUUGCAGAUAUAAAACAAACAGACAAUCAUAAUAUCAGUCAAAAAUAGUUUAUGCUACAAAACCAACUUCAUAUGAUAUUUUUAAAAUAGUUUAAAUUUGACUCAACGUUCCAUGACAUAGAGUAAGGCAUUGUUGGCAGAAUAGAUGGAUGCAGUUCAAUGCAUGAUUAAUAUAAUUCACCAAUACAUUUCUUGGUAGUCCAAAACAUAUUGCUGUCAGGUUGUAAAUCACAGCUGGCCUGGUACAUUGUUCGCUCCAACCCCCGCCCCUUUCCCACCGCACCGCCCCCAAUUCGGGAUGCACUGUUUCAAUUUCAAAGACUCAGUAUUCUGGACAAAAAUGGACGAAUGUAACUCUGUGAAUGUCAAUACAAUCAAACUAGCAAGGGCAAUGGUCACAAGUCAGUCAUUACGUGGCUAAUAGGCUAGCAUAUCUAUGUAUGUAGCAGGCUAAAAACACGGAAGCUAGAUAGCUAGCUGCUAGCGGGAUGUCAUGCCAUUGAAGGAGUGGGUAAGUGACUGACUUUUUCCCCCUCAUAUCGGUGGCUAUACACAGCUAGAGAUGCAGGUGUCAUUUGGUUAGCUAGCAAGAACUUGAAUGAGUGUUACCCAGUUAGCAUAUCUCUUGCGUUCACAAAUUCACUCUGGCUAUCUACUCCAAUAUUAGAGAGCUCUCGCCUGAGUGUGCCAGAGCGCAGAACAACUGAUGAAUUUACGAAUGCGCAACACCCGCUGAAUAUGACCAGUAUCAGUAAAUGUAGACAAAAAAAGUAAGAGUUAGUCAAGAACGCUCUAGAUAAAAUGUAAAAAGCCUAACUAGCUCUGCUACUGUGAGUAAAAUGGUCAGAGUGAGGUGUUCUCUCAUUUGUGUUUGGAAGUAGCUAGCUAUCAAGCUAGCCAACUUUAACCAGUUAGCUUUGGUGCUUGGUUGGGACAAGCAUGCAUUGGCAGACAAGCUGUAGAAGGACGAGGAGGCUACAAUUUUGUGGCUUUUGGUGAAUGCGUUCUAAUGAUCUAAAGUCACGCUGUUGCAACUUCCUGUAAACACACAGUCCAGUUCAAAGUGAAUGAUGGCAGGCCCAUGUGACAAAUGGCUUGUUUGUUUAAAAGGCCUACUGUAGCUCUGAUUGACUAUAGCGCACCGGUCUGUGUAGACUCCGGUCCUGGACAAGACAGAUGUUUUUAUUUACUUUUUUAUUUACUGCAUUGUCCAAAUGCACGGCCACUUUCCCACUCUAUAUUGCUAUAGAAUUUUCAAAAAUGCCUUAGUAUACAUAAUUCCCAAACAUUCUAAUAAUUUAUGAAAAUGUGAUCGCUUGUCAGAAAAUGUUUUUUAAAAAGUGUCAUUCUUCCUGAGGGUGUAUGUAGAUGAACAGAUUUGAAUAAGAUGUCAUGUUGCUAAAAUGCUGUAAGCUCCACUUUAAAUGCAACAAUGUUUCACACACCCAAGUUAUUUUCAAAGAGAUGGCUAACACCACAAACACGCUGCAAUAAAAAACACAGUUCCACUCACCAGAUGAUGAUCAUUUGAAACACAGCUUCUUGUUGACAGUUAUUCUUGAAAAGAGAGAAGCUAACAAAUUAGCAAACUAGCCUCUUUGAUUACACCUGCUGCAGCUGCUGCAAACUAGCCAACAACAAAUGCUAGCUAGACUGUGGGAAAACUACUGCUCGCUAAUGCGCAGUGACCUGUUGGGCCUUCAAGAAGGCAGAAGUUUCCAUACAUUUUGGAAAAGCGGUCCCACCCAUUAAGUCAAAAUGUGAUUGGUUGAUUCCACUGUCACUCCAAUAUUUUGCCCAAAUACAGUUGAAUGGCAGAUGCCUUUAUCUAGCUUCUGAUGGACUUGCCAAUGGCUGACUUAUCCAGCUAAAUUUAUCUCCCCAGAGACCAGCAAAGAAAAUCCUGUUUGGAUCUUUUUUUCUCUUCAGUGUAAACCCUUUCCUUCAGAACAAAUCAGAACAUCAUUGAAAAUAAUAAUAUAAUUAUCAUUAUUAUUAUAUUAUUAUAAUCAUUAUUUUAUAAAUCCUUAGCCCUUGUCUAAAGGCUUAGAAGGCCCAUUGUUCCCCACUGUGUUUGGGUUAGUAAUAUUUGUAGAGCGGCUCUAUUUUCCUCAUCAUGCAUUUCUUCACUAUUCUGAAUGUCUAAAGAAUCCAAAUGUUGUUCUGAAAUAUGAACACAGAAAUACUGGACAUUUUGAACUCUUGUUAUUGUGGUGAUUUGACAAAAGUACAAUCAUGGUCUUGAAUUGGACUCGCAUUUUACUGGUCUCGGUCUUGACUCGGUCUCGGAAACCUCUUGUCACCCUCCCGGUCUCGGACACCCCCCCUUGACUCAGUGACUCGGAUUCGAUUUAUUUGCAUGAGCGAUAAACGGGAUUUCCUGCCGCUAAACUCCGCUCACAUACUCUGAAUGAGGGUUAUGGUUAGGUUAGGGGUUAGGGAAAAUAGGAUUUUGAUUUGGAAUACAUUUUUACUCCCCAAACGUCCUGAAAAGUGUGUGGUGUGGGUGUGUGUGUACAUGGUUUCCAACCUUAUCAGGAUCAUAAUGUCCUAACAAUUCACCAGAAUGGCCUGAUAAGGUAGGAAAACAAGGACAUUUCUGAAGAGUCUGGACUUUGUUAAAUGUCCUGAAUUUGCUAAAAUGCUAUUUUAGGCUUAAGGGUUAGGUUUACGUUUUGGGGUUAGGAUUUUGUGUGUGCCUGUGUGUGUGUGUUUUUGGUUUUACUAUUCUUGUGGGGACCAGAAGUCCUCACAAGGACAGUAAAACAAGGAACAUUCAGACAAGUGGAAACAUUUAGCCGAUCCAUACAAGGAAAAAGGCAUUUUCAGGGGUUAGGUUUGGGUUUAGGAUUACAUUUAGGGUUAAGGUUCAGGUUAGGUUUAAGGUUUAGGAUUACAUUUAGGGUUAGGGUUUAGGUUCAGGUUAGGUUUAAGGUUUAGGAUUACAUUUAGGGUUAGGGUUCAGGUUCAGGUUAGGUUUAAGGUUUAGGAUUACAUUUAGGAUUAGGGUUUAGUUUCAGGUUAGGUUUAAGGUUUAGGAUUACAUUUAGGGUUAGGGUUCAGGUUCAGGUUAGGUUUAGGAUUACAUUUAGGGUUAGGGUUCAGGUUCAGGUUAGGUUUAAGGUUUAGGAUUACAUUUAGGGUUAGGGUUCAGGUUCAGGUUAGGUUUAAGGUUUAGGAUUACAUUUAGGGUUAGGGUUCAGGUUAAGGUUAGGUUUAAGGUUUAGGAUUACAUUUAGGGUUAGGGUUCAGGUUAAGGUUAGGUUUAAGGUUUAGGAUUACAUUUAGGGUUAGGGUUCAGGUUAAGGUUAGGUUUAAGGUUUAGGAUUACAUUUAGGGUUAGGGUUCAGGUUCAGGUUAGGUUUAAGAGGGUUUCUGUUUGUGCUGGUAUCAAACCUUGGGUUGCACAGGCUUAUUGCAACUUUCUGCUCUUUCUGUAUAUUGCAAAUCAGUGUUAAGGUUAGGGUUAGGGUUAGGAGUUAGGGGAAAUAGGAUUUUGAGUGGGAAUCAAUGGUUUGGUCCCCACAAGCAUAGUAAAAUAAAUAGGGAGGGCUACUGUGUGCGUGGGCAGGGCUCUGUGCAUGUGUGUGUGCGUGUGUGUGCGCAUGACCCCAUUGCUCUCCCCUGUAUGUGUAUGUGUGACAUUAGCAUGAGCAAUAAGGUUUGAGUCCUCGGUGUGUGUGCUGUAUAUAUUGGUGAUCUAGCAUAUCACACUCGCCCUUUCUCUCAGAGCUGACUUACUUAUGUACCUACUUGUAUGAAAGAGAUGAUUGUUCCUCUCCUGUCCGUCCUGUCCUCUCUAACCGAAUGGCCAUUGUGAAUACUGAAUACCUUUGAUGCCAUUUUGAAACUAUCCUCCUCUCUCCACCAGAGUUGACUACUUCAUUUGUCGUGGUUUAUCGUUCAAAGCAGCACCCACAUGAUGCCUGACCUUGAAAUGGGUUUAUUGUUACUUUUAUUGAGUGUUUAUUGAGGUUUUUAUAGAUACAUUGAUGAAUUUAUCCAAACUCCAAUGUUGUGUUUUGUCUUGUUUUAUGCAGCGUGGACAUGCUAAAGCAGAUUGACUGAGGGGAGAAGAAGAGGUCUUAUAUGAACACACUGAUAUUUGAGUCCAUUCCAUUUUGAUACAAAGAUGAUUUUCUUCUGAAUAUGGGGAUAAAACUGUGAUUAGACUUUUAUUUUGAAGGUCUCUGUUCAUUUGAAGUGCAUGUUGGUUUGCUACAGACAGUAUGACGUUUGUUUUGUUUCCUGAUUUGUACCACACAAGCCUCCAUACUUUACCAACAAAUGGGGGUUUGUUAUGGAAAAUGAAAUUCAAAGUGUAAAGGAAACUCCUGUACCAGUCUACCAAACAUGAUUGACUGAAAGUGUUUAUUGAGCUGUUGGGGUUUGACGCUCUAUGAUAAUUCUGUCUUGUCGUGACUGAUAACUCAGCUAUCACCGUAGCUAGAACACUCUCAGCGCUUGGCGGGGAUGGAAUCCUGUAACCAUUCCAAAUCAGUAUAACGAAAUCAGUGCAAAUGCAUUGAAUGACACUUUAAUAUCCAGCGAGCUGAUUUAACGAUAUUCUAUUUCUCAGCUGUGAGAUCUCGGGAGGUUUAAUCGAGAACUUGUCGUUUUCCUAAUGACGAUGGAUAUUUUUCUUUACGCUUUUACGUUUUCCAAGAUGGCUGACGUCGGUGAACUGAAUGUGGCUCUUGAGACUGCUGAAGCGAAUGCCACACCCCCUGCUCCAACCCCCGCCCCUUUCCCACCGUCCCGCCCCAAACCUGUCCACUCCACCAUCACUGCUUGACUAUGAUGUGACAUAUGCAACAAUUAUUUUUUUGUUCGUAAAGAUAUUCUUUGUAUCAGAGGGAGAGAGUGUGGGAGGGGGGCAAUAGGGAAACGCAAAUACAUAUUUUUUAAAAUAUCAAAUGAUGUUGAUAAAAUUAUAACUGUCUUUUUUUUCAUGUAAAAAGAAAAAAAGAAUGACAACUGUUGCUAGUGCACAUGUGCUGUAAAUUGUUCUUUGGUGUAGUAAAAAUCAUCAUGGUUUAGUCGUUUUUAAAAAUCAUUUACACCAACGGUUCUAGUGUCUUAUUUUAGUUAGCCUUCUGCUCCACCGCAUUUUAAGAACCAGCUUAAUAUUUUUCUAAAGGGAUUCUUUGAAAAAAUGCAUGCGUUUGCUGGAGAACUUUGAGUUUAGUGUUGCACAAGGACAGGCGUUGUCUCUGCCUGCAUCCCAAAUGGCACCCUAUUCCCUAUAUAGUGCACUACUUUUGACCAGGGCACACAAGGCCAUACGGCUCUGGUCAAAAGUAGUGCACUAUAUAGGGAGUAGGUUAUCAUUUGGGACACAGCCUCUGUCUUUCAGUUUCCAUGGCUAAGUGAAAAACUUUUGGGGUGAAGGAGUGUACUUAGGUCUUGUACAUGAGAUUAUGUAAAUUGAGGAAAUUAAAAUGAUAAUUAUAUGACGAUUACUUUUGAUCUGUUACAGCUCGUGUAUUUGAAUUAUUGAAAAGAUAUUAAAAAAAUAAAAUGCAAUUGUUUAGUCCGGUGCAGUGUCUAUGAGUAAAUAGAAUAAAUCAUUGUCCUAUUAAAGUACUUAUAUAAGUGGUUGUCUUCUUUUGACAUCAACAUUUAGAUGUUUCCAAAGUCAAUGUACGGUCUGUUUCUUUUGCACCAAUGUAUAAUGUACUGUAUUGCUGCUUAUACACUAUGUUGUAUACCCACAUAUUUCUGUAUAUCUGUAAGAUCUUC